This 538-nucleotide ribosomal RNA is filed under the name Musca domestica (house fly). Its description in RNAcentral is "partial small subunit ribosomal RNA". It matches the Rfam family "Bacterial large subunit ribosomal RNA", at positions 1856 to 2650 of the family's 2925-position model. Lineage: Eukaryota; Metazoa; Arthropoda; Insecta; Diptera; Muscidae. The record is from RNAcentral.
AACCUGCCCACUGAAUUAUUUUAAAUGGCCGCAGUAUCCUAACUGUGCAAAGGUAGCAUAAUCAUUAGUCUUUUAAUUGAAGGCUGGUAUGAAUGGUUGGACGAGAUAUUAACUGUUUCAUAAAAAUUUAUAAUAGAAUUUUAUUUUUUAGUCAAAAAGCUAAAAUAAAUUUAAAAGACGAGAAGACCCUAUAAAUCUUUAUAUUUAGAUAAUUACAAUUUUGUGGAUUUUUUUUGUUGUGAUUGUUGAUAAUAUUUUAUUGGGGUGAUAUUAAAAUUUAAAAAACUUUUAAUUAAUUAAAUCAUUAAUUUAUGAAUAAUUGAUCCGUUAUUAACGAUUAAAAAUUUAAGUUACUUUAGGGAUAACAGCGUAAUUUUUUUGGAGAGUUCAUAUCGAUAAAAAAGAUUGCGACCUCGAUGUUGGAUUAAGAGAUAUAUUUUGGUGUAGUCGCUAAAAUGUUAAGUCUGUUCGACUUUUAAAUUCUUACAUGAUCUGAGUUCAAACCGGUGUAAGCCAGGUUGGUUUCUAUCUUUAAAAA